ACAAUAUGUCUGUUUUCCAAGAAUAUUUUAUUUUACUAUUGAGCUCUUGUUGUCCUACCCAGAUAUUUGGCGGUGUGGGCUUUGCUUGUCUGCCAUUGGGACUUAUCUUUUCAUUCUUUCGGCGUCCAAAAGUUGUUAUCACUCGUUCACAGUAUAUUAAGGAAGCAACUGAACUAGGUAAGAAGGCAAGAGAAUUGAAGAAAGCAGCUGAUGCGCUUCGUCAGGAGGAAAAGAGUGGCUCAAAGGGAAGGAAGUGGCGUAAAAAUGUAAAGGCAGUAGAAAAGGAGCUGCUUCUUCUGGAAGAAGAUGUAAAGGCUUUAGAAGAGAUGUAUCCUCAAGGUGAAAAGGUGAUGGUUUGAAGUUUUUUUAAUGUGCUGACUGCACAUUUUUUCAAAAGCAGUUUUUGAUAAAUCUGACUUCUUCUUGGCUGCUUGUUUGAUAGGUUGAUUGUUUCAGUGGCAUGGAUUGCACAUAUUGUGAUAUAUCUAUUGAUUAACCCUCCUCUUUCUCCUUUCCUAAAUGGGGUUUUCAUCAAGUUGGAUGACGUCUGGGGUCUUCUGGGAACUGCAGCCUUUGCAUUCUUCUGCUUCUACCUUCUACUUGCCGUGAUUGCUGGGGCAAUGAUGCUUGGCAUGAGAUUAGUUUUCAUAACAAUCCAUCCAGA
This is a non-coding RNA of Camellia sinensis, 664 nucleotides long. The record is from RefSeq and is a predicted model, not a curated record. NCBI's taxonomy places the organism in Eukaryota, Viridiplantae, Streptophyta, Magnoliopsida, Ericales, Theaceae.